GCGUCGGCUGGGCAUCGGUGAGCCCAACGGACUGUAAAUCCGCCGCCACAGGCUGUGUAGGUUCAACUCCUACCCGGCGCA
This 81-nucleotide transfer RNA is filed under the name Planctomycetaceae bacterium. Its description in RNAcentral is "tRNA-Tyr". It matches the Rfam family "tRNA". From Rfam's summary of the family: Transfer RNA (tRNA) molecules are approximately 80 nucleotides in length. Lineage: Bacteria; Pseudomonadati; Planctomycetota; Planctomycetia; Planctomycetales; Planctomycetaceae. The record is from RNAcentral.